Molecule: ribosomal RNA, 2911 nt
Filed under: Oceanidesulfovibrio marinus
Lineage: Bacteria; Pseudomonadati; Thermodesulfobacteriota; Desulfovibrionia; Desulfovibrionales; Desulfovibrionaceae
Description: Desulfovibrio marinus 23S ribosomal RNA
Rfam family: Bacterial large subunit ribosomal RNA
Source: RNAcentral
AAAAGAUAGAAAGGGCAAACGGUGGAUGCCUUGGCGCCGGCAGGCGAUGAAGGACGUGGUAGGCUGCGAUAAGCCUCGGGGAGCCGCCAAGCAGGCUUUGAACCGAGGAUUUCCGAAUGGGGCAACCCAGCCGGAGUUAUCCGGUUAUCCUUUGGCUGAAUGCAUAGGCCUUAGGAAGCGAACCCAGGGAAGUGAAACAUCUCAGUACCUGGAGGAGAAGAAAUCAAGCGAGAUUCCCUCAGUAGCGGCGAGCGAACGGGGAUUAGCCCAAACCGUCGGCUUUCGAGCAGGCGGGGUUGUAGGACCUCCAUACGAGAUCCGUAUGCGAUAAUGGAAGCAGCUGGGAAGCUGUGCCAUAGAGAGUGAUAGCCUCGUACAUGAAAUCGUACGCGGCUCAGGAGGCUCCUGAGUACCGCGGGGCACGUGAAACCCCGUGGGAAUCUGGGUGGACCAUCAUCCAAGGCUAAAUACUCGCCGGCGACCGAUAGUGCACCAGUACCGUGAGGGAAAGGUGAAAAGAACCCCUGAUAGGGGAGUGAAAUAGAACCUGAAACCGUUUGCCUACAAGCAGUUCGAGCAUCUUUAUGGUGUGAGAGCGUGCCUUUUGCAUAAUGAGUCAGCGAGUUACUCUCUCGUGCAAGGUUAAGCGUGAGCGGAGCCGAAGCGAAAGCGAGUCUGAAUAGGGCGAUCAGUACGAGGGAGUAGACCCGAAACCCGGUGAUCUAUCCAUGGGCAGGUUGAAGCUCGGGUAAAACCGAGUGGAGGACCGAACCGUUGAAGGUUGAAAACUUCUCGGAUGACCUGUGGAUAGGGGUGAAAGGCCAAUCAAACCGGGUGAUAGCUGGUUCUCCCCGAAAUAUAUUGAGGUAUAGCCUCAGGUGAUGACUGACGGAGGUAGAGCACUGAAAGGGCUAGGGGCCCCACCAGGUUACCAAACCCUAUCAAACUCCGAAUGCCGUCAGUUUCCAGCCUGGGAGUCAGACUCUGGGUGCGAAGGUCCAGGGUCGAAAGGGAAACAGCCCAGACCGACAGCUAAGGUCCCAAAAUCCAUGCUCAGUGGGAAAGGAAGUGGGAGCGUAUAGACAGCCAGGAGGUUGGCUUAGAAGCAGCCAUCCUUUAAAGAAAGCGUAAUAGCUCACUGGUCUAAUGCUCCUGCGCCGAAAAUGUAACGGGGCUAAGCAUGGUACCGAAGCUUCGGGCGCGAACUUUGUUCGCGCGGUAGGGGAGCGUUCCCAUCGGGACGAAGGUGAAUCGUAAGGUUUGCUGGACUGAUGGGAAGUGAUUAUGCUGACAUGAGUAACGAUAAAACAGGUGAGAAACCUGUUCGCCGUAAGCCCAAGGUUUCCUGGGUAAAGGUAAUCUUCCCAGGGUUAGUCGGUCCCUAAGGCGAGGCCGAAAGGCGUAGCCGAUGGAAAACGGAUUAAUAUUUCCGUACCACGCAUAACGCGCGAUGAGGGGACGCAGAAGGGUAGACCAUCCAUCUGUUGGAAUAGAUGGUGUAAGCGUGUAGGCUUGAGGGUAGGCAAAUCCGCCCUCUGGACGGCCGAGACGCGAUGCCGUGACUUAACGUCUGAAGUGGUUAAGCCCAUGCUGCCAAGAAAAGCCUCUAAGUAUAGUUGUGCGUGACCGUACCGCAAACCAACUCAGGUGGGCGGGGAGAGCAUCCCAAGGCGCUUGAGAGAACUCUAGCUAAGGAACUCGGCAAAAUGACCCCGUAACUUCGGGAUAAGGGGUGCUUCUGAUGGUGAGAGAAUUUACUUCUUCAGCUGUCGGAAGCCGCAGAGAAAUGGCGGUGGCGACUGUUUACUAAAAACAUAGGACUCUGCUAAGUCGCAAGACGACGUAUAGGGUCUGACGCCUGCCCGGUGCCGGAAGGUUAAGGGGUGGGGUUAGCGUAAGCGAAGCUCUAAACCGAAGCCCCGGUAAACGGCGGCCGUAACUAUAACGGUCCUAAGGUAGCGAAAUUCCUUGUCGGGUAAGUUCCGACCUGCACGAAUGGCGUAACGAUCUCCGCGCUGUCUCAGCUAGAGACUCAGUGAAAUUGAAUUGGCGGUGAAAAUGCCGUCUACCCGCGGAAAGACGGAAAGACCCUGUGCACCUUUACUGCAGCUUGACAUUGGGUUUUGGGCUAGCAUGUGUAGGAUAGGUGGGAGACUGUGAAUCGGGCACGCCAGUGUUCGUGGAGUCACCCUUGAAAUACCACCCUUGCUAGUCUAAGGCUCUAAUCCGAUACCGUUAUCCGGUUCGGAAACAGUGUCUGGCGGGUAGUUUGACUGGGGCGGUCGCCUCCCAAAAAGUAACGGAGGCAUGCAAAGGUUCCCUCAGGCUGAUUGGAAACCAGCCGUUGAGUGCAAAGGCAUAAGGGAGCUUGACUGUAAGAGAGACAUCUCGAGCAGGAACGAAAGUUGGCCUUAGUGAUCCGGUGGUCCCGCAUGGAAGGGCCAUCGCUCAUUGGAUAAAAGGUACGCCGGGGAUAACAGGCUGAUCGCGUCCAAGAGUUCACAUCGACGACGCGGUUUGGCACCUCGAUGUCGGCUCAUCACAUCCUGGGGCUGAAGCAGGUCCCAAGGGUUCGGCUGUUCGCCGAUUAAAGUGGUACGCGAGCUGGGUUUAAAACGUCGUGAGACAGUUUGGUCCCUAUCUUCCGUGGGCGCAGGAGACUUGAGAGGGGUUGCCCCUAGUACGAGAGGACCGGGGUGAACGAUCCGCUGGUGGACCUGUUGUCGUGCCAACGGCACAGCAGGGUAGCCAUGAUCGGAAAGGAUAACCGCUGAAGGCAUCUAAGCGGGAAGCCUGCCUCAAGAUAAGGUCUCCCCGAAGGACCCAUGUAGACUACAUGGUUGAUAGGCCGGGUGUGUAAGCACAGCGAUGUGUUCAGCAAACCGGUACUAAUAGUCCGUUCGUCUUUUUU